AACGAGAAAGUCCCCUUUCGGGGGACAAGUAAAGUGGCGCACGGGUGAGUAACACGUAGGUAAUCUACCUUCGGGUGGGGAAUAACCCAGGGAAACUUGGGCUAACACCGCAUAAUGCAGCGGCACCACAUGGUGACAGUUGUUAAAGCGGGGGAUUUUAGGACCUCGCGCCUGAAGAGGAGCCUGCGGCGGAUUAGCUUGUUGGUAAGGUAACGGCUUACCAAGGCGACGAUCCGUAGCCGGCCUGAGAGGGCGGUCGGCCACACUGACACUGACAUACGGGUCAGACUCCUACGGGAGGCAGCAGUCGGGAAUUUUGGGCAAUGGGCGAAAGCCUGACCCAGCAACGCCGCGUGAAGGAUGAAAUCCCUCGGGAUGUAAACUUCGCAAGAAUGGGAAGAAUUAGCGAGCGCUAAUACCGCUCGUGAUGACGGUACCAUUUGUAAGCUCCGGCUAACUCCGUGCCAGCAGCCGCGGUAAUACGGGGGGAGCAAGCGUUGUUCGGAUUUACUGGGCGUAAAGGGCGCGUAGGCGGCCAGCGCAAGUCAGUUGUGAAAUCUCCGGGCUUAACUCGGAAAGGUCAACUGAUACUGCGCGGCUAGAGUGCGGAAGGGGCAACUGGAAUUCUCGGUGUAGCGGUGAAAUGCGUAGAUAUCGAGAGGAACACCUGCGGCGAAGGCGGGUUGCUGGGCCGACACUGACGCUGAUGCGCGAAAGCCAGGGGAGCGAACGGGAUUAGAUACCCCGGUAGUCCUGGCCUAAACGAUGGAUGCUUGGUGUCUGGGGUUUUAUAGUCCCCGGGUGCCGUAGCUA
This 813-nucleotide ribosomal RNA is filed under the name uncultured bacterium. Its description in RNAcentral is "bacterial SSU rRNA". It matches the Rfam family "Bacterial small subunit ribosomal RNA", at positions 65 to 854 of the family's 1533-position model. The record is from RNAcentral.